AACGAACGCUGGCGGCAGGCCUAACACAUGCAAGUCGAACGAGAAGCCACCUUCGGGUGGUGGACAGUGGCAGACGGGUGAGUAACGCGUGGGAACGUGCCUUUCGGUUCGGAAUAACCCAGGGAAACUUGGGCUAAUACCGGAUACGCCCUUCGGGGGAAAGAUUCAUUGCCGAAAGAUCGGCCCGCGUCGGAUUAGCUAGUUGGUGGGGUAAUGGCCCACCAAGGCGACGAUCCGUAGCUGGUCUGAGAGGAUGACCAGCCACACUGGGACUGAGACACGGCCCAGACUCCUACGGGAGGCAGCAGUGGGGAAUAUUGGACAAUGGGCGAAAGCCUGAUCCAGCCAUGCCGCGUGGGUGAAGAAGGCCUUAGGGUUGUAAACCCCUUUCAGCGGGGAAGAUAAUGACGGUACCCGCAGAAGAAGUCCCGGCUAACUCCGUGCCAGCAGCCGCGGUAA
Molecule: ribosomal RNA, 459 nt
Filed under: uncultured bacterium
Lineage: Bacteria
Description: partial 16S ribosomal RNA
Rfam family: Bacterial small subunit ribosomal RNA
Source: RNAcentral